Penaeus indicus is the source of this 844-nucleotide long non-coding RNA. RefSeq lists it as uncharacterized. Lineage: Eukaryota; Metazoa; Arthropoda; Malacostraca; Decapoda; Penaeidae. The transcript is spliced from 2 exons. The record is from RefSeq and is a predicted model, not a curated record.
ACAUACAUUUUUUUGUAUGAAGUCAUUAUCGGUCUAAAUAGUAAUUAUAUAUAACAUAGUGUUAAUAUAUAGGCUAUAAACAUAUUUUAAUGUUCCAUUAGAGAUAUACAGGAUUUAAUUUUGUUUGUACAUACAUUGUAUGUUUAUUGAUUUAUCAUUCAGACUAUUAAAAUUAAGUUGAUUAAGAUGGAGAGUUGAGGGAAAUAGCCAGAAAAAUGAUUUUUACUUACAUAACUUAAAUCUUUGACUCAUAUUUCCAGGCACCAAAAGAUUUCUUUGGCAGAGUAAUUAGCAACGCAGUCCAUCAGGAAGCAAAAAGCAUGACAAAUGAAAUUGUGAAAAGUGAUAUAUGGUUCAGAUUUAAGGAAGGCUACAGCAAUGCAGUAAGACGACCCAUCAAACUAAAAGAUUUAGUGUGAUAUAAUUAUUGCUUUCAUACUAUGUACCUAUAGAUUCAUUGUUAGUUUUUAAUGUUCAUAUCUUUUCAUAUUGGAUUUCUGUUCACUACCAAGGAAUAGCUAUAAAGCUUUAUAGAUUAAUAUAGUUUCUGUGAUGAUAUCAAAGAAAACGAGAAGAGUAAGAUUGGAAAAUAUAUACAGUAUGGCCUCUUUUUUUGUAUGAUAAUGCCAUAUUGAUAAGCAUAAAUGCAAUAUGUAUCAUUCAUAAAGUUAGAUGUGAAUAAUUGAAAUUUAGAGGCAAACAUCCUUGACUUAAUGGAUUAUCAUAUAUCUGACUAUACUUUCUCUGUAUUUUUCAAGAGCACACUAGUAAAAUCAUAAAGUAUAUAUUGUAUACAUUACCAAUUUGUGGAAAAUUGUACAAAAUAAAAAGUAAACGUUUUCUA